GGCGGGUUGCCCGAGUGGCCAAAGGGAACGGUCUGUAAAACCGUCGGCGUACGCCUACGCUGGUUCGAACCCAGCACCCGCCACCA
RNAcentral lists this transfer RNA (86 nucleotides) under Micrococcales bacterium. RNAcentral's name for it is "tRNA-Tyr". It matches the Rfam family "tRNA". From Rfam's summary of the family: Transfer RNA (tRNA) molecules are approximately 80 nucleotides in length. Their secondary structure includes four short double-helical elements and three loops (D, anti-codon, and T loops). The record is from RNAcentral. RNAcentral also lists the same sequence under 2 other names. Lineage: Bacteria; Bacillati; Actinomycetota; Actinomycetes; Micrococcales.